Molecule: ribosomal RNA, 253 nt
Filed under: uncultured bacterium
Lineage: Bacteria
Description: partial 16S ribosomal RNA
Rfam family: Bacterial small subunit ribosomal RNA
Source: RNAcentral
UACAGAGGUCUCAAGCGUUGUUCGGAUUCAUUGGGCGUAAAGGGCGUGUAGGCGGUCAGGUAAGUGAGAUGUGAAAUGCCCCGGCUCACCCGGGGACCGGCAUCUCAUACUGCUUGGCUUGAGUACGGGAGAGGAUGUGGGAAUUCCUGGUGUAGCGGUGAAAUGCGUAGAUAUCAGGAGGAACACCGGUGGCGAAGGCGCACAUCUGGCCCGAUACUGACGCUGAGGCGCGAAAGCUAGGGGAGCAAACGGG